This 274-nucleotide ribosomal RNA is filed under the name uncultured bacterium. RNAcentral's name for it is "partial 16S ribosomal RNA". It matches the Rfam family "Bacterial small subunit ribosomal RNA", at positions 523 to 796 of the family's 1533-position model. The record is from RNAcentral.
AGACAGAGGGUGCAAACGUUGUUCGGAAUUACUGGGCGUAAAGCGCGUGUAGGCUGUUCUGCAAGUCGGGUGUGAAAGCCCAGGGCUCAACCCUGGAAGUGCACUCGAAACUGCAAGACUUGAAUCUCAGAGAGGGUGGCGGAAUUCUGGGUGUAGAGGUGAAAUUCGUAGAUAUCCAGAGGAACACCGGCGGCGAAGGCGGCCACCUGGACGAGCAUUGACGCUGAGACGCGAAAGCGUGGGGAGCAAACAGAAUUAGAAACCCCAGUAGUCC